AAAGUACUCCCUCCGUCCCAAAAUUCUUGUCUUAGAUUUGUCUAGAUACGGAUGUAUCAAGUCACAUUUUAGUAUUAGAUACAUCCUUAUCUAGACAAAUCUAAGACAAGAAAUUUGGGAGGAGUAGUUG
Molecule: non-coding RNA, 130 nt
Organism: Triticum aestivum (bread wheat)
Lineage: Eukaryota; Viridiplantae; Streptophyta; Magnoliopsida; Poales; Poaceae
Source: Rfam